CAAGGCCUGUCGGGAGAACCGACGUUAGGGAAUUCGGCAAGUUAGUCCCGUACCUUCGGAAGAAGGGAUGCCUGCUCUCGACGGAGCAGGUCGCAGUGACUCGGGCGCUCCGACUGUCUAGUAACAACACAGGUGACCGCAAAUCCGCAAGGACUCGUACGGUCACUGAAUCCUGCCCAGUGCGGGUAUCUGAACACCUCGUACAAGAGGACGAAGGACCCGUCAACGGCGGGGGUAACUAUGACCCUCUUAAGGUAGCGUAGUACCUUGCCGCUUCAGUAGCGGCUUGCAUGAAUGGAUAAACGAGAGCGCCACUGUCCCAACGUUGGACCCGGUGAACUGUACGUUCCAGUGCGGAGUCUGGAGACCCCCAAGGGGAAGCGAAGACCCUAUAGAGCUUUACUGCAGGCUGUCGCUGAGACGUGGUCGCCGAUGUGCAGCAUAGGUAGGAGNGAGACCCCCAAGGGGAAGCGAAGACCCUAUAGAGCUUUACUGCAGGCUGUCGCUGAGACGUGGUCGCCGAUGUGCAGCAUAGGUAGGAGUCGUUACAGAGGUACGCGCGCCAGCGCGCCACCCAGACAGCAUUGAAAUACUACCCGUCGGUGACUGCGACUCUCACUCCGGGAGGAGUACACCGGUAGCCGGGCAGUUUGACUGGGGCGGUACGCGCUCGAAAANGCUCGAAAAGAUAUCGAGCGCGCCCGAAGAUCAUCUCAGCCGGGUCGGGAAUCCGGCGAAGAGCGCAAGAGCACAAGAUGGUCUGACAGUGUUCUUCCCAACGAGGAACGCUGACGCGAAAGCGUGGUCUAGCGAACCUACGAGGUUCCGGAAUGGGACCCGUAGAUGACAGAAAAGCUACCUUAGGGAUAACAGAGUCGUCACUCGCAAGAGCACAUAUCGACCGAGUGGCUUGCUACCUCGAUGUCGGUUCCCUCCAUCCUGCCCGUGCAGAAGCGGGCAAGGGUGAGGUUGUUCGCCUAUUAAAGGAGGUCGUGAGCUGGGUUNCCUCCAUCCUGCCCGUGCAGAAGCGGGCAAGGGUGAGGUUGUUCGCCUAUUAAAGGAGGUCGUGAGCUGGGUUUAGACCGUCGUGAGACAGGUCGGCUGCUAUCUAUUGGGGGUGUGAGGUACCUGACGUGAACGAACGUAUAGUACGAGAGGAACUACGUUUGGUCGCCACUGGUGUAUCGGUUGUCCGAGAGGGCAGAUGCCGAGUAGCCACGCGACACGGGGUAAGAGCUGAACGCAUCUAAGCUCGAAACCCACAUGGAAAAGAGGUACCACAGAGGUCACUCGUAGAAGACGAGUUCGAUAGACUCGGGGUGUACGCACCGAGGCAACGAGGUGUUAAGCCCACGAGCACUAACAGACC
Molecule: ribosomal RNA, 1369 nt
Filed under: Halorubrum distributum JCM 10247
Lineage: Archaea; Methanobacteriati; Methanobacteriota; Halobacteria; Halobacteriales; Haloferacaceae
Description: bacterial LSU rRNA
Rfam family: Archaeal large subunit ribosomal RNA
Source: RNAcentral